UGCGAGCCCAGAAGGAGAGCUGCCAUUUUUACAGCCCCUGCUUUGGGAACUGUGGAAGGAGCAGAGGUGCAGGUAGCUCCAGACCCAGUCGUGGUGUUGCAUUCUCACCUCCAAAUCCUUUUCUGAUGUUUAGGCCACUAAAAUAAAGAGGAAAAGAGUGAUGUGAUUGCUUGUGGGACCAAAUGAGAAAAGCUUUGUACCUUUUAACUCUUUUUCCUCUCAGUCCGCUUCUUGCUGUAUCAAGAUGCAUACCACUCUUUGUCUCUGCGUGAAGAUCUCAGCAGUGUGAGCCUGCAGAACUGGAGGUUUCCAUCUCCCAGGGAGUUAUUUUCUGUAAUUCAGACACAAAAUCAAGUUAAUGCUCCUGGAGAAAUAUAUGUCUGUGUCCUUUUCCCCUGGUUCUCCUGGGGUGAAUGAAUGGUCCCUGCCACGCUCUCUACUUCCUGCCCUCACUCUGAAGAACUGUCUUCCAUUUAAGCAGAAGAAAGCUAUAAAGAAAGAACUUUUGCAUACAGCAAGUGCUCUUCCUGAUUGUGUUGUUGUCUGCAUUUGGCAGAAGGGGCAUGGUGGCAGUUUACCUGAUACUCGCAGAAGAUCAGUGGCCAACCAGGAGUGGACCCAGCAUGGCUCUAUUGGACCAUGUGUUUCCCUGCUUGAACCCUGAAAAGAACAGGAGGUGAGCAAUGAAUGGAAAAUAAAGCAAGAAGAAAGACACAGACAGGCACAACUGAGAGAACAAGUGAUGGUGAGAAACAACUUGGAUGAUGAAUUCUAAGUUGGGCUGUAAAAUAGAACCACUGGGAAGUGCUUAAAGGAAAGGGAUGGAGAAGAGCUUGGAAAAUGGCUUUUAGCUGCUCUGCUAUUGGAAAUACUUCCAGCUAAAAUGCAAAGUUGAAGGUUGUAAUUUAUUAUUUUUUUUUACUGCUCAUGGGAUGUGAGAGAUCUGUCAGCACAUUAAUGGCUCAGGCAUCUCCACCUGUCUUAAUGGGAUGUGGAUGUUUAGCUGUAGAUCAAGCUGUGACGUGGCUGUAAAAUUCCCCCAUCUUGUCCAGCCUACCAUAGUGUUGAUGGGGUGUGAGGCACAGAGGAGAUGCUCAGUGGCAGAUGAGGAUGCCAUGAAAGCCCAAGGCCAGUUGUAGUACUGGCAAGGCUGGCUCUGAAGUAUAGGGUGUGACAUGAAGAAUUCCAAGUGUUUUCCCCAAAACCCAACAAAGCUUUCUGAGUGUGGUGCACGCCUUCAGCCCCGGCCACCUACAGUGAUGGAGAAGACCCCCUGCCCCUAUACACCCCCAAAAUACCAUAUCUGCUAGGCAGCCCUGAGCUGUGUGCAUCCCUUCCCCCACUCUCACGGGGAAGAUGAAAAAUCCUUGUCUGGUUUCCUUA
Lagopus leucura (white-tailed ptarmigan) is the source of this 1383-nucleotide long non-coding RNA. RefSeq lists it as uncharacterized. The transcript has 2 exons. Lineage: Eukaryota; Metazoa; Chordata; Aves; Galliformes; Phasianidae. The record is from RefSeq and is a predicted model, not a curated record.